GUUAAGGAAAAAAAUAUGACUUGUCUUAAACUUCCGAGCCCUAAUAAUUACCAUAUGGCUUAUUGUUCGAUGAUCAUCUUUGUCAGAAAAAAUUUUAUUCACUAUUUGCGCUCGUUAUUUUUUCGUAACAUUUUAACUGUUUAGCACCGCCUUUCUCGACCGGUGGGGCGCCCCGUAGGUUGAGAAAGGCUGCGCUAAAGCGUAAAACACGUGUAAUAAUGGUUUUUUUUUUUUAACCAUUGGCCGUCGAUGGCUUUAAAUCUAUUUUUCUCCUUCCUGGAAACGAUUAGGAAAAAGCAAAAUUUGGGGUAUUUCGAGUACUUCGAUGGAAAAGAUGUAUUUAUAAAAAAACUAUAAUAAUAAAAUGGUGGAGUACUCGAUAUCGGGGUAGCGCACUCUUAUAAACUAUUAGGAUGCGUUGUAGGCCUAUUUAUUUUAAUAAGUGUGACCGUCCGGCCACCAAAGCCGUGGAAUGUAGGUUGGCUAAAGUAGGCGGCCGAGCCCAUCGACAACGGCUGCCUUUAUCUAAGACGGAGCUACGUAAUCGAAUACAAACUACUGUAUUACGAAACGUCCCGACUACGGACGGGAAAUACUCGGCUUAUAGCGGAGGCGGCUAGGUUCCGUUUAAUUCGGGACAGCGCGUAUUCGAUCGGGUCCAACACACGCCCGCACCGCCAUCAAAUUUUCGGAAUCGGAUAGGAAAUGGCCCUUCUCCGCCGGUUAAAACCAAAUCCACUUUGGAAUUGGUCCGGAAAAGUAUAAAUAUUUAUCCCUCGUUAAACCGUCUACGUCGAAAUAUUUACCAAGAUCGGUGAUGGCCAACCACCUACCCGCGGGUAACAAAUUACCCGCCAACCCAUUUUCCAAUAUUUAUUCUAAUUUAGCAUUUAGUA
This 896-nucleotide long non-coding RNA is filed under the name Androctonus crassicauda. The record is from RNAcentral. Lineage: Eukaryota; Metazoa; Arthropoda; Arachnida; Scorpiones; Buthidae.